Molecule: long non-coding RNA, 366 nt
Organism: Peromyscus californicus insignis
Lineage: Eukaryota; Metazoa; Chordata; Mammalia; Rodentia; Cricetidae
Exons: 2
Source: RefSeq, a predicted model, not a curated record
GUGUUUUCCCGAAGAAGAAGAAGAGCGAGACUGCGCGGAAGGGGGUUUUUAUAGUGCACCAAAGCGCCGCGAUAGCUCGACUGCUCGUGCAGCUCGCCCGCAGGCUGUAAUUGGCUGCGUGUUGUCCCGCCCCCGCCACGUUCUUCCUGCGCCUGCGCAUAUUCUCUCGCCGAAGCCGAAACCUACGCCGCCUGGAAGGGACUAUAAAAGCUCUGACCGGCGCCUUUCAGGCCUGCUAGAGAUCGUGAGUGCGUGGUGCUGCUCUCUGGCCCAGGUUCCACUGGAUCUGGAGGCGGCCGCCGCUUCGUCCACGAAAAUGGCAGGGUUCGCGUGUCCACUUUUCUCAAAUAAAAUGGUUUAACUUAA